GCCUGGGUGGCUCAGUUGGUUGGGUAUCUGACUUCGGCUCAGGUCAUGAUCUCACAGUUUGUGGGCUCAAGCCCCACGUCGGGCU
RNAcentral lists this transfer RNA (85 nucleotides) under Felis catus (domestic cat). It matches the Rfam family "tRNA". Rfam says of the family: Transfer RNA (tRNA) molecules are approximately 80 nucleotides in length. Their secondary structure includes four short double-helical elements and three loops (D, anti-codon, and T loops). Further hydrogen bonds mediate the characteristic L-shaped molecular structure. tRNAs have two regions of fundamental functional importance: the anti-codon, which is responsible for specific mRNA codon recognition, and the 3' end, to which the tRNAs corresponding amino acid is attached (by aminoacyl-tRNA synthetases). tRNAs cope with the degeneracy of the genetic code in two manners: having more than one tRNA (with a specific anti-codon) for a particular amino acid; and 'wobble' base-pairing, i.e. permitting non-standard base-pairing at the 3rd anti-codon position. Lineage: Eukaryota; Metazoa; Chordata; Mammalia; Carnivora; Felidae. The record is from Rfam by way of RNAcentral.